UAUUUUUUGUUGGUAAUAUGGAUGCACUUGCCGUUGCUGGUAUUGCCUAAUAAUACGACUAACCAUGCACAUGUCAGCUUCGUGUGAUAUUAUGUCUUUCAUUUAUAUAUCUUUGAUUUGACCCUCCAUCUUUCAACAACUUUCUUAUGGAAUACUAAACCAAACUCAGUUUACUUUGAUGCUAAUUUAUUUAGCUCUUUGUUCCAUUGCAGGAGAUUAUCAACUCACUUUUUGUUUACAGGAAAAUUUAUUGACACUCAAGAGUCAAGACAAAUGCAACAAAUUUUUGAAGUUGUGUUCUACCACUUCCCACAAUAAAUAAAAGAAAUUAUAGAAAGAAGGUCAACUCAUUGUUCUUCAAUCCGUUCAAUUAAUGGAUCUUGGCUACGGCAUCUGGUGAUGCAACUAUUAAGUAUUUUACUUGUGAAAACUAUCAAGAAGCUUGCAUGCUUCCGACAACUGUGACUGAUUUUCUUUAUUGUUACCUCUUUACGUCAGUCUUAAUUUUCUGUUUUUCAUUGGUCAGUUAAUCUACCUGC
Long non-coding RNA from Lolium rigidum, 539 nucleotides. RefSeq lists it as uncharacterized. The transcript has 3 exons. NCBI's taxonomy places the organism in Eukaryota, Viridiplantae, Streptophyta, Magnoliopsida, Poales, Poaceae. The record is from RefSeq and is a predicted model, not a curated record.